Papaver somniferum (opium poppy) is the source of this 1007-nucleotide long non-coding RNA. RefSeq lists it as uncharacterized. The transcript is spliced from 3 exons. The record is from RefSeq and is a predicted model, not a curated record. NCBI's taxonomy places the organism in Eukaryota, Viridiplantae, Streptophyta, Magnoliopsida, Ranunculales, Papaveraceae.
UUUGGUAAUUCUUUUCUUAAUUUUAUUCAUGAUACUUUCAUAGAUAUUUAUACAUUACUUUUCUCAAAACUUACCUAAGACACUGAUUUGAGACUUUCCUUAUAAGUCUCACAAUCAUGACUUACAUAAACAAUCCUUUCCUAAUAUAUACCACUUACCUUAUCAGUCUCAAGUUCGUGACUGAUAUGGACAAUACUUUCCAUAUAUACCACUCACCUUAUCAGUCUCAAGUUCGUGACUGAUAUGGACAAUACUUUCCAUAGACUUACCACUACGGUCUUGGAAAGUAUUACCACUUUCCUUAAUAUUGGUCUACUUUAAAAUUAGCUUUAAUGCAGUGUGUGGAUUAUGAUGAAUAAAAAAACAAGAAAAUUGUCCAAAAUGCCAGAGGAAGUUAGAGAUGAAAUGGCACCUCAUACAAUGGAUUAUCGCAUCCGCGAAAACAUCAAACUGUCAAAGCUUCAUGACAACGCAUCUGAUUUUGUCCAGGUUUAACAGCACGUUGGAGUGACUUAGAUGUUAACCACCAUGUGAAUUUUUCCAAAUACAUUGAUUGGAUUCUCGAGUCUGGCCUUGGUUUGUUUCUGAAAGUUAAAGACAAUAUAUCAAAUGCUUUUACACAAUGCUCCUAUGAUAAUCUUAGAAAGUCGGGAGCUUUGUGACCCGACUCUGGAGUUUAAGAGGGAAUGUAGAAUAGGCGAUGAGCUAAAGUCUUUGACAAAAGUUACUGAAAAUGGUGCUUAUACUGAAUGUCAACACAUGCUUCAAUUUGAGAACGGAAAUGAAGUUGUGAGGGGAAGAACCAAAUGGAAGCCAGCUGAAUAAAAAUGAGAGCAUAUAAAUGUUGGGUGAGGAGAACACACUUAUCACAUUCAAUGUUAACAGAUUAAUCGUCCCCUUAAAUAAUGUAUAUAGCCCAUCCUCUUUUUGGAGUGCUUGUGUUUGUUCAUAGGGUGUGCAAUAAGCCUGCUAUUGCUCUUGCUAAGCAAGCUCGAAUAAAUUGUAUU